RNAcentral lists this ribosomal RNA (505 nucleotides) under uncultured bacterium. Its description in RNAcentral is "bacterial SSU rRNA". It matches the Rfam family "Bacterial small subunit ribosomal RNA", at positions 18 to 518 of the family's 1533-position model. The record is from RNAcentral.
CCUGGCUCAGGAUGAACGCUAGCGGCAGGCUAACACAUGCAAGUCGAGGGGCAUCGGGAGUAGCAAUACUGCCGGCGACCGGCGCAAGGGUGCGUAACGCGUGAGCAACAUGCCCGUAUCAGGGGGAUAAUCCAUGGAAACGUGGUCUAAUACCCCAUAGUAAUUAUGUAAGGCAUCUUAUAUAAUUUAAAGCUUUGGUGGAUACGGAUUGGCUCGCGUGACACUAGCUGGAUGGUAAGGUAACGGCUUACCAUGGCUACGAUGUCUAGGGGUUCUGAGAGGAAGGUCCCCCACACUGGAACUGAGACACGGUCCAGACUCCUACGGGAGGCAGCAGUGAGGAAUAUUGGACAAUGGAUGGAAAUCUGAUCCAGCCAUGCCGCGUGCAGGAAGAACCGGCCCUAUGGGUUGUAAACUGCUUUUGUAUGGGAGCAAUAAGGGCUACGUGUAGUCCGAUGAGAGUACCAUACGAAUAAGCACCGGCUAACUCCGUGCCAGCAGCUGC